GAUCAAGUGAAAGAAGGGCAUUUGGUGGAUGCCUUGGCAUGCACAGGCGAUGAAGGACGUGAUACGCUGCGAAAAGCCGUGGGGAGCUGCGAAUGAGCUUUGAUCCAUGGAUCUCCGAAUGGGGCAACCCACCUUAGAUGCUUGGAAAAUCAUUUUGGUUGGCAUCUGGUCCCGAAGCCGUAAGGCUUCGCAAGGCCAGAGGCCGUCGCCGGUUAUCCGGCGUCAAGAAACCAAAGUGGUUUCCAAGCAUUGUUGAAAGGUAUCUUAUUCUGAAUACAUAGGGAUAAGAAGCGAACGCAGGGAACUGAAACAUCUAAGUACCUGCAGGAAAGGACAUCAACCGAGACUCCGCAAGUAGUGGCGAGCGAACGCGGACCAGGCCAGUGGCAAUGAGGAAUAAAGUGGAACGAUCUGGAAAGUUCGGCCGUAGCGGGUGAUAGCCCCGUACACGUAGAACACUCAUUGUCCUUGAGUAAGGCGGGACACGUGAAAUCCUGUCUGAACAUGGGGAGACCACUCUCCAAGCCUAAGUACUCGUGCAUGACCGAUAGCGAACAAGUACCGUGAGGGAAAGGUGAAAAGCACCCCGACAAGGGGAGUGAAAUAGAACCUGAAACCGGAUGCCUACAAACAGUCGGAGCCCGCAAGGGUGACGGCGUACCUUUUGUAUAAUGGGUCAACGACUUAGUGUGGCAUGCAAGCUUAAGCCGGUAGGUGGAGGCGUAGCGAAAGCGAGUCUGAACAGGGCGCUUUAGUAUGUCGCAUUAGACCCGAAACCGAGUGAUCUAGCCAUGAGCAGGUUGAAGGUUGGGUAACACCAACUGGAGGACCGAACCCGCAUCUGUUGCAAUAGAUUGGGAUGACUUGUGGCUAGGGGUGAAAGGCCAAUCAAACUCGGAAAUAGCUGGUUCUCCGCGAAAACUAUUUAGGUAGUGCGUCGACCGAAUACCCUCGGGGGUAGAGCACUGGAUGGGCUAUGGGGACUCACCGUCUUACUGAUCCUAACCAAACUCCGAAUACCGAGGAGUACUAGUCGGCAGACACACGGCGGGUGCUAACGUCCGUCGUGAAAAGGGCAACAACCCUGACCUCCAGCUAAGGUCCCCAAGUCAUGGCUAAGUGGGAAAGGAUGUGAGGAUCCCAAAACAACCAGGAUGUUGGCUUAGAAGCAGCCAUCAUUUAAAGAAAGCGUAACAGCUCACUGGUCUAAAUAAGGGUCUUUGCGCCGAAAAUGUAACGGGGCUGAAGCCAUGCACCGAAGCUGAGGAUACGUCGUAAGACGUGUGGUAGCGGAGCGUUCCGUAAGCCAGUGAAGGGAUACCCGUGAGGGGUCCUGGAGGUAUCGGAAGUGCGAAUGUUGACAUGAGUAACGAUAAAGAGGGUGAGAGACCCUCUCGCCGAAAGACCAAGGGUUCCUGCUUAAAGUUAAUCUGAGCAGGGUUAGCCGGCCCCUAAGACGAGGCGGACACGCGUAGUCGAUGGGAACCACGUUAAUAUUCGUGGGCCUGGUGGUAGUGACGGAUUGCUCAACUUGUCCGGACUUAUUGGAUUGUCCGGGCGGGGACGCGGUUCCAGGAAAUAGCUCCACCGUAUAGACCGUACCCGAAACCGACACAGGUGGUCAGGUAGAGUAUACCAAGGCGCUUGAGAGAACUAUGUUGAAGGAACUCGGCAAAUUGCACGCGUAACUUCGGAAGAAGCGUGACCCUUUUCUACGCAAGUAGGAUGGGGUGGCACAGACCAGGGGGUAGCGACUGUUUAUCAAAAACACAGGGCUCUGCGAAGUCGCAAGACGACGUAUAGGGUCUGACGCCUGCCCGGUGCUGGAAGGUUAAGAGGAGGGGUGCAAGCUCUGAAUCGAAGCCCCAGUAAACGGCGGCCGUAACUAUAACGGUCCUAAGGUAGCGAAAUUCCUUGUCGGGUAAGUUCCGACCUGCACGAAUGGCGUAACGACUUCCCCGCUGUCUCCAACAUAGACUCAGUGAAAUUGAAUUCCCCGUGAAGAUGCGGGGUUCCUGCGGUCAGACGGAAAGACCCCGUGCACCUUUACUAUAGCUUUACACUGGCAUUCGUGUCGGCAUGUGUAGGAUAGGUGGUAGGCUUUGAAGCGGGGACGCCAGUUCUCGUGGAGCCAUCCUUGAAAUACCACCCUUAUCGUCAUGGAUGUCUAACCGCGGUCCGUCAUCCGGAUCCGGGACAGUGUAUGGUGGGUAGUUUGACUGGGGCGGUCGCCUCCGAAAGAGUAACGGAGGCG
RNAcentral lists this ribosomal RNA (2254 nucleotides) under Ensifer meliloti. RNAcentral describes it as "Sinorhizobium meliloti partial 23S ribosomal RNA". It matches the Rfam family "Bacterial large subunit ribosomal RNA", at positions 1 to 2308 of the family's 2925-position model. Lineage: Bacteria; Pseudomonadati; Pseudomonadota; Alphaproteobacteria; Hyphomicrobiales; Rhizobiaceae. The record is from RNAcentral.